UCAAGUUAUUAAGGGUGCAGGGCGGAUGCCUUGGCACUAGGAGCCGAUGAAGGACGUGAUAAGCUGCGAUAAGCUUCGGGGAGUUGCACGUAAACUUUGAUCCGAAGAUUUCCGAAUGAGGAAACUCACUUAGAGUAAUGUCUAAGUAUCAUUAAGUGAAUACAUAGCUUAAUGAGGGGAACUCAGGGAACUGAAACAUCUAAGUACCUGAAGGAAGAGAAAGAAAUUCGAUUCCGUAAGUAGCGGCGAGCGAACGCGGAUUAGCCCAAACCAAUAAAGUUUUCUUUAUUGGGGUUGCGGACAUAUCAUAACGAAGAGGUAUCGUAAUUGAAGAGGUUUGGAAAGACCCACCACAGAAGGUAAUAGUCCUGUAUGUUAAACGAGAAGACUUCAGAUAUGAUCCAGAGUACCACGGGACACGUGAAACCCUGUGGGAAGCAGGAGGGACCACCCUCCAAGGCUAAAUACUACCUAGUGACCGAUAGCGUAUAGUACCGUGAGGGAAAGGUGAAAAGAACCCCGGGAGGGGAGUGAAAUAGAACCUGAAACCCUGCACUUACAAGCUGUGGAAGCACAUUUCUUGUGUGACCGCGUACUUUUUGUAGAACGGGCCAACGAGUUACGUUAAGUAGCAAGGUUAAGCACUUAAGGUGUGGAGCCGUAGCGAAAGCGAGUUUUAACUGAGCGUUCAGUUACUUGACGUAGACCCGAAACCGGGCGACCUACCCAUGAGCAGGAUGAAGCGAAAGUAAAAUUUCGUGGAGGUCCGAACCCACGAGCGUUGAAAAGCUCGGGGAUGACUUGUGGGUAGCGGUGAAAUUCCAAUCGAGCCCGGAGAUAGCUGGUUCUCCCCGAAAUAGCUUUAGGGCUAGCCUCAAGGUGAGAGAUACGGAGGUAGAGCACUGAAUGUCCUAGGGGGUAUUGCACCUACCGAAGACUAUCAAACUCCGAAUGCCGUCAUCUUAUACUUGGGAGUCAGACUGUGGGUGAUAAGAUUCAUAGUCGAAAGGGCAACAGCCCAGAUCGUCAGCUAAGGUCCCUAAAUGUAAGUUAAGUGGUAAAGGAUGUGGGAUUGCACAGACAACCAGGAUGUUGGCUUAGAAGCAGCCACUCAUUCAAAGAGUGCGUAAUAGCUCACUGGUCGAGUGAUCCUGCGCCGAAGAUUUCCGGGGCUAAAACUUACUACCGAAGCUACGGCAUCAGUAAAUGAUGGGUAGGGGAGCUUCCCAUACGGGUUGAAGCAUGACCGUAAGGACAUGUGGACAGUAUGGGAGUGAGAAUGUUGGCAUGAGUAGCGAGAUGUGGGUGAGAAUCCCACAGGCCGUAAACCCAAGGUUUCCAGGGGAAGGUUCGUCCGCCCUGGGUUAGUCGGGACCUAAGCUGAGGCCGAAAGGCGUAGGUGAUGGACAACAGGUUGAUAUUCCUGUACUACCGAUAACCGUUUGAGAGAAGGGAUGACACAGUAGGAUAAGCUAAGCACACUGUUGGUUAUGUGUGCCCAAGCAUUGAGGCAGUCAAAGUAGGCAAAUCCGCUUUGAUAAUGCUGGGAUGUGAUGGGGAGCGAAAUUUAGUAGCGAAGUAGCUGAUUUCACACUGUCAAGAAAAGUCUCUAUCGAGGUUAAAGGUACCCGUACCGCAAACCGACACAGGUGGGUGAGGAGAGUAUCCUAAGGCCAGCGAGAGAACUGUUGUUAAGGAACUCGGCAAAAUGACCCCGUAACUUAGGGAUAAGGGGUGCCACCAUCAGGUGGCCGCAGAGAAUAGGCCCAAGCGACUGUUUACCAAAAACAUAGGUUUCUGCUAAGUCGCAAGACGAUGUAUAGGAGCUGACGCCUGCCCGGUGCUGGAAGGUUAAGGGGAUCUGUUAGAGCAAUCGAAGCAGUGAACUUAAGCCCCAGUAAACGGCGGCCGUAACUAUAACGGUCCUAAGGUAGCGAAAUUCCUUGUCGGGUAAGUUCCGACCCGCACGAAAGGCGUAACGAUUUGGGCACUGUCUCAACAACAGACUCGGUGAAAUUGUAAUUCCGGUGAAGAUGCCGGAUACCUGCGACAGGACGGAAAGACCCCAUGGAGCUUUACUGUAGCUUGACAUUGGGUCUUGGUACUACAUGUACAGGAUAGGUGGGAGGCUUUGAAACCAGGACGCCAGUUUUGGCGGAGCCAUCCUUGGGAUACCACCCUUGUAGUACUGGGACUCUAACCAUAGGCCAUGAAUCUGGUCUUGGGACACUGUCAGGUGGGCAGUUUGACUGGGGCGGUCGCCUCCCAAAAGGUAACGGAGGCGCUCAAAGGUUCUCUCAGUACGGUCGGAAAUCGUACGUAGAGUGUAAAGGCAAAAGAGAGCUUGAUUGCAAGACAUACAGGUCGAGCAAGGAUGAAAAUCGGACUUAGUGAUCCGGUGGUUCUGCGUGGAAGGGCCAUCGCUCAACGGAUAAAAGCUACCCUGGGGAUAACAGGCUUAUCUCCCCCAAGAGUCCACAUCGACGGGGAGGUUUGGCACCUCGAUGUCGGCUCAUCACAUCCUGGGGCUGUAGUAGGUCCCAAGGGUUGGGCUGUUCGCCCAUUAAAGUGGUACGCGAGCUGGGUUCAGAACGUCGUGAGACAGUUCGGUCCCUAUCCGUCGCAGGCGUAGGAAAUUUGAGAAGACCUGUCCUUAGUACGAGAGGACCGGGAUGGACGUACCUCUGGUGUACCAGUUGUUCUGCCAAGGGCAUGGCUGGGUAGCUAUGUACGGAAUGGAUAAGCGCUGAAAGCAUCUAAGCGCGAAGCCAACUUCAAGAUAAGAUUUCCCACCGCAAGGGUAAGACCCCAGAAAGACUAUCUGGUUGAUAGGUCGAAGGUGUAAGUGCAGCAAUGUAUUUAGCUUAUCGAUACUAAUAGGUCGAGGACUUGACCAA
This 2897-nucleotide ribosomal RNA is filed under the name Clostridioides difficile. RNAcentral describes it as "23S ribosomal RNA". It matches the Rfam family "Bacterial large subunit ribosomal RNA". The record is from RNAcentral. Lineage: Bacteria; Bacillati; Bacillota; Clostridia; Peptostreptococcales; Peptostreptococcaceae.